RNAcentral lists this ribosomal RNA (1278 nucleotides) under Ophraella communa. Its description in RNAcentral is "16S ribosomal RNA". The stretch from base 1039 to 1197 matches the Rfam family "Archaeal large subunit ribosomal RNA", at positions 2544 to 2703 of the family's 2987-position model. The record is from RNAcentral. Lineage: Eukaryota; Metazoa; Arthropoda; Insecta; Coleoptera; Chrysomelidae.
AAUUAAAUAUUUAUUAAUAUUUUUAUUUAUUUUUAUAUUAAUUUAAGAAAAAUUUAUUUUAUUAAUUUUUUGAAAAAAUUAUUUUUAUUAUAGUUAAUUAGUAUCGUGAGAGAAAAUUUUUAAUUUUUAAAAAGAAAAAUUUAAUUUUUGUACCUUGUGUAUCAGGGUUUAUUAAAAAUAAAUUAUAUAUUUAAUAUUCUCGAAUUUAAAAGAUUUAAGUAAUUAAAAUUUUUAUUGUAAAAUAAAUAUUUUUAAUAAUUAUUUAGUAAUGAAAAGUUAUUCGUUUUUAAUUUUAUCUAGUUUUUUAAGAAAAAAAUUUAAUUUUUUUAUUAAUAAUAUUUUUAUUUUUUAUUAUUUUUAUAUUAUUAAUAAAAAAUAUUUUUAGGGAUUAGCUUAAAAAUAGAUUCUUAUUAAUUAAUUAAUUAAUAUAAAUAAAAUUAGGAUUAAAAAUUUUCAUAUUUUGAAGUAUGUAAUUAUUUAUUUUUUAUUAAUAUAAUUUGUAUAUUUUAUAAGUUUUUUAUUAAAAUUUAAUUUAAAAUUUUAAAAGAUUAGUAAUGAUGAUAAAAUUAGUAUAAAUAUUUUUAUAAAUUAAAUUCAAUUUUAAGGUUAAAUAUAAGAAUUCGGCAAAUAUUUUUUCACCUGUUUAUUAAAAACAUGUCCUUUUGUUAAAAAUUUAAGGUCUGGCCUGCUCUAUGAGUAAUUAAAUGGCCGCAGUAUUUUGACUGUGCUAAGGUAGCAUAAUCAUUAGUUUUUUAAUUGAAAGCUGGAAUGAAGGGUUGGAUGAAAAAAAGACUAUUUUUAUUUAAUUAUAUUAAAAUUUUAUUUUUAAGUUAAAAAGCUUAAAUUUUAUUAAAAGACGAGAAGACCCUAUAGAGUUUAAUAUAAAUUAGAUUUAAUAAAAUUAGGAUUUAUUUUUUUAUUUUAAAUUUAUAUUUAAUUGGGGUGAUUGAAAAAUUUAUUUAACUUUUUUUUUAUUUUAAUACUAAUAAGUAAUUUUUUGAUCCAAUAUUUUUGAUUAUAAGAUAAAAUUACCUUAGGGAUAACAGCGUAAUUUUAUUAGAGAGUUCAAAUCGAUAAUAAAGAUUGCGACCUCGAUGUUGGAUUAAAAUUUAUAAUUGGUGUAGAAGCUAAUUAAUUGAGUCUGUUCGACUUUUGAAAUUUUACAUGAUCUGAGUUUAAACCGGUGUAAGCCAGGUUGGUUUCUAUCUUUAAUUUUAUAAUUUAUUUUAGUACGAAAGGACCAAAUAAAUAAAUUAAAUUUUAUUUUUGAGUAAUAUU